This 253-nucleotide ribosomal RNA is filed under the name uncultured bacterium. RNAcentral describes it as "partial 16S ribosomal RNA". It matches the Rfam family "Bacterial small subunit ribosomal RNA", at positions 524 to 776 of the family's 1533-position model. The record is from RNAcentral.
UACAGAGGUCUCAAGCGUUGUUCGGAAUCACUGGGCGUAAAGCGCACGUAGGCGGAUCUUUAAGUCAGGGGUGAAAUCCUGGAGCUCAACUCCAGAACUGCCUUUGAUACUGGGGAUCUCGAGUCCGGAAGAGGUGAGUGGAACUCCGAGUGUAGAGGUGAAAUUCGUAGAUAUUCGGAAGAACACCAGUGGCGAAGGCGGCUCACUGGUCCGGUACUGACGCUGAGGUGCGAAAGCGUGGGGAGCAAACAGG